AUGAUAUGCCUGAUUAAAGGAUUAUUUUGAUAGAAUAAACUAUACACUAUUUGUGUUUUCAUUA
RNAcentral lists this transfer RNA (64 nucleotides) under Trichodes sp. RNAcentral describes it as "tRNA-Ile". Lineage: Eukaryota; Metazoa; Arthropoda; Insecta; Coleoptera; Cleridae. The record is from RNAcentral.